RNAcentral lists this long non-coding RNA (506 nucleotides) under Coffea arabica (coffee). RNAcentral's name for it is "long non-coding RNA (CARA_LNC001736)". The record is from RNAcentral. Lineage: Eukaryota; Viridiplantae; Streptophyta; Magnoliopsida; Gentianales; Rubiaceae.
UCCUCCUACUCCUGUAUCAGAAAUAAGGACGGCUAAUUAUGUUCUCAACUAUCUAAUUAAGAACCCACUUCAUCCAUUAUUCUGACAUGCAUACUGCCAUACAAUAAAAUUGUUAAUAUCAAACCUGUUCUCUUAUCCUUCCUCCUGUCAUAAUGACUGUCUGAAUCAUCAUCACUUUCUGAUCUUUCCCUGGAAAUAUGCCAGAAAUCAGAGGAAUGAGAAUAAAAGAAUCUUGUGGAUGUAGGUACCAGGUGGCUAAUGAGAUGCACCUUUUCCUUGAAUGCUCUACAUAUUCCCUCUAUACUGAUUGUUUAUCUCUUUCUGGUUCUUGUAAAGAAGCUUUUCCGCACAACUGUUUUGAACAAAACGCAUAAGAUGCAGCUGUCAAAAUGAAAUAUAAAUUUCACCAGGUUGUUAACCCACCAAAUUAUGACCUGAAGAUGAAGUAUUUUAUUUUACUUUUUGAUAUCAAACAUGAGAUUUUAUUAAUGUACAUCCGCCACUGC